RNAcentral lists this long non-coding RNA (274 nucleotides) under Nicotiana benthamiana. RNAcentral's name for it is "long non-coding RNA (NBEN_LNC014642)". Lineage: Eukaryota; Viridiplantae; Streptophyta; Magnoliopsida; Solanales; Solanaceae. The record is from RNAcentral.
CAGCCCUUGAAUCCCCCUCUUUUUAAUUCUCUCUGCAGCCUCACAUAAACCCUAGCUGCCACCAUCCAAUUUCACCCUAAUCUACCUCAGUCCCUACCUAAUCCAUGAUCUUCCAUGGCCGUUUGAGAUGUAUACAGGCCUCCUACAUCUUCCGGUGGCCUAUUUGUGUGAUUUAAUGGACAUAUCUCGAAGAGAUCUUGUUCGGUCCUUGCUCAACCUCUAUCUGUGGUCCUUCUCGGCCAUCCAUGGCCGUUCAAGUCAGAUCCUUGUCCUU